This 253-nucleotide ribosomal RNA is filed under the name Phocaeicola coprocola DSM 17136. Its description in RNAcentral is "partial 16S ribosomal RNA". It matches the Rfam family "Bacterial small subunit ribosomal RNA", at positions 524 to 776 of the family's 1533-position model. Lineage: Bacteria; Pseudomonadati; Bacteroidota; Bacteroidia; Bacteroidales; Bacteroidaceae. The record is from RNAcentral.
UACGGAGGAUGCGAGCGUUAUCUGGAUUUAUUGGGUUUAAAGGGAGCGCAGACGGGAGAUUAAGUCAGUUGUGAAAGUUUGCGGCUCAACCGUAAAAUUGCAGUUGAUACUGGUUUCCUUGAGUGCAGUUGAGGCAGGCGGAAUUCGUGGUGUAGCGGUGAAAUGCUUAGAUAUCACGAAGAACCCCGAUUGCGAAGGCAGCUUGCUAAACUGUAACUGACGUUCAUGCUCGAAAGUGUGGGUAUCAAACAGG